This 468-nucleotide ribosomal RNA is filed under the name uncultured bacterium. Its description in RNAcentral is "partial 16S ribosomal RNA". It matches the Rfam family "Bacterial small subunit ribosomal RNA", at positions 28 to 507 of the family's 1533-position model. The record is from RNAcentral.
GACGAACGCUGGCGGCGUGCUUAACACAUGCAAGUCGAACGGAAAGGCCCUGCUUUUGUGGGGUGCUCGAGUGGCGAACGGGUGAGUAACACGUGAGUAACCUGCCCUUGACUUUGGGAUAACUUCAGGAAACUUGGGCUAAUACCGGAUAGGAGCUCCUGCUGCAUGGUGGGGGUUGGAAAGUUUCGGCGGUUGGGGAUGGACUCGCGGCUUAUCAGCUUGUUGGUGGGGUAGUGGCUUACCAAGGCUUUGACGGGUAGCCGGCCUGAGAGGGUGACCGGCCACACUGGGACGGAGAUGCGGCACAGACUCCUACGGGAGGCAGCAGUGGAGAAGAGUGUACAAUGGGCGGAAGCCUGAUGCAGCGACGCCGCGUGCGGGAUGAGGUGCUUCGGGUUGGAAACCGAUUUCGUCUGUGACGAAGCGUUAGUGACGGUAAUGGGUAAAGAAGCACCGGCUAACUACGUG